UCCUCGCUCGAAGCGGUUUUUUCCUCUCUAGGAAUCUGCGAAACCAUCAGCCCUUACGCCAAAGAGGUGCCUUUCCACUUUCUACUUCCACUCUUUUCUUCCCCGUUGGGGCGUUGGCGGUUAGCUAAGCCUCUCUGGCCGCGCAUUGGAUUCGACGCCGGAGAAUGGUUGGCGCUCAACUCUGCUGCCGUGCAGUUUGCGGCUUUGCUGGUUUCACAGACCAAUUGAAUGCGGGCCGUCAAAUUCGGAGUUCGCUCUGUCACUACUCCUCUUCCUCGCUGCUUCGGUUCUCGUUUCGAUUAGGUUUGUCGCACCGGCAUUGUGGCAGAUCAAAAUCGGUUCUCAUAUGCUGCAAGUCCUCUCGGAGCUUUGGUCCCGAAUCGGACGACAACGGUGGGCCUGAUCACGACUAUGUUGAAGCGUUCGUCCUUCUUUCAGAAACUAUCAGGCACUACCGAAUGCGCAUGCAAGGAUUUCAAGAAGAAGCCAAAUGGCAAUCCUCUGCGCAGUCUUUCCCUAGAAAUGAGGUCAGUUCCAUAGGACCGGCAUUUCUACGUCAUUUUCAGAGUCCCACCAUUUUUUUGAAAAUAUCUUGUGACGGAGACUUCUUGCUACCGAUAAUUGUAGGGGAAUUUGCUAUUGAAAAGCUUAUAGAUUCCUCAAAUGAGGAUGACAGCUGGGAUUGCCCAAAUCAGUUCCAGCUUGUGAGAAACCUUGUGGAACAUCUUGGCUAUAGGAUGGAAUCUCAAAUAGACAAGAACAAAGGAGAAGUGUAUCAGAAGGAGAAGUCAAAAGAAGAAGACGGUACAUCUAUCUCCAAAAUUAAAGAGAAAUUUCUUGUCCAAAAAAAGAAAAAGACCCAAAAUGGUAGGCUAAAAAGUGAUGUAUGGAAGCAUUUUACUAGACAAGUGAUGAAACAAAAUCUUCUUGUAAUUAUUGCAAGAAAGUUUAUGCUGCUAAACAAAAAGAAAAGGGUAAGUUCCAUCUUGAACCAUCUAAAAGAGUAAUGUUGGAAGUUCCCUUUAAGGGUUCAACUAAAAAAUCAGAAAGUCUUGUGUUUUGAGCCUAAGAAAGGGAGAUGUAGAUGGUAUACUUAAGCUAUGAGUUUAAUCAAGAAUAAUUAAGAAAGGCGUUAGUUAUGUUUAUAAUUGUUGAAGUUACCUUUCAAGUUCGUAGAGAGGUGUGUUUAGGAUGUAUUCACAAGCUUUGGGACAAGAGUUGUAAUUCCAUGCCGAUUCACUGUUCCUAGAGAUUGUUUGAAAUUAUUUAAUGAAGAGAAAAAGAAAUUGAAGAAAAUCCUAAGAUCUCACUGAGUUUGUCUUACCACUAAUACUUGGACACUGUUGAAAUCUUGGUUCUAAAGCUUGAGAAUACAUUUUAAAAAUUCACCCCUGUACAAACAAGAAAGCUAAUCAAUGAUUAUUAACUUAAGCAACACUGUUUCUAAUUCUUCUUGAUUAAAAUUUGUAGCUUAAGUGUACCACCUCAUCUCCUUUUUUAGGUUCAAAGGACAAGAACCUUAAAGGGAAUUUCCAUCAUUGCUCUUUUAGAUGGUUUCACGUUGCACUUGUCCCUUUCUUUUUUGAACUAGCAACAUAAACUUUAUUGUAGUAACUACAACAAGCUUUUUUCAUCACUUGUCUGAGUAAAAUGCUUCCAUACAUCACUUUUUAGCCUACUACUUUGCAUCCCCUUUUUUUUUUUUUUUGAAAAAAAGGCAUUUCUCACCUGUUUUUGGGAUAGAUGUAUCUUAUUCUUCUUGUCACAUUUCCUUGUGAUAGGCAUCUUCUUUGUUGCUGUCUACUUGAGAUUCCAUUUGCGAAAUAAAAGGCAAAAAUUUUAACUAUAACCUAUAGCCUAGAGGGGAUUUAUCUCUUAACAGAACUAAAUUUGGACUUCAAAUGUAUUUUAAAAAUUCUUGUUAAUUCUACUCUUUAAAAUUGGUCCUGCUGUACUUUUAGUAGGAUCGAAUCUCAGAUUCGGUUUCAAUUGGACUCCUUGAUUUGGAGCCGAAAAAAGAAGGGAAUAGCAAAACUCGUAUUACUUUAUUUGUAUGUAAACAGGGUGAUAGGCAGGUGGUUUUAAUAUUGCUGGCCCAUCAUAAAUUGUUUUUUGUACAAAAGCUCAAUAUUUGGAGACAAUGUUUUGACAUAUUGAUGGAUUGUUGAACAGAAAAAGUUGUUCUGCAAUUGAAGUCUGAUCUUUGUUGAUGAUGCCAGCUAUCCAAUCUUCACAUAUUUCCAAGGGGUAGAAGUGCAUGGUUACCAUGGUGAGGAUUACAGAAAGAGUGGUGAACACUUACUUUGCCAGGAUAUUUUUU
This is an RNA transcript of Diospyros lotus (date-plum), 2320 nucleotides long. It is a transcript of the gene named bifunctional nuclease 2, with no coding region annotated. NCBI's taxonomy places the organism in Eukaryota, Viridiplantae, Streptophyta, Magnoliopsida, Ericales, Ebenaceae. The record is from RefSeq and is a predicted model, not a curated record. The transcript is spliced from 6 exons.